Cinara cedri is the source of this 284-nucleotide non-coding RNA. Lineage: Eukaryota; Metazoa; Arthropoda; Insecta; Hemiptera; Aphididae. The record is from the annotation of a GenBank genome assembly.
UAUAGCAAUUUAUUGAACUGUGUAUUAUAAUUUAUAACUAUAUGGUAUUUAUAUAACAAUUAUUUAAUUAUUUAGUACUCACUCAUACAUUAAAUAUUAUGCUGUAAAUUCAUUUAUUAUCUUUAUAUUGAGACCGUUAUAUAAUUGUACAACUGAACACUUUUUAGUUUUCAGUUCGAGUAUGAUAAUGAGAUAACAAAAAACAAGUAAUAACGACCAACCAAAAUUGAGAGCCCAAAUUUAAAUGACUUUUAUAUGAAUCAUACUUAACGCUAACGUUAAGU